ACGUAGGGGGCAAGCGUUAUUCGGAAUUAUUGGGCGUAAAGCGCUCGUAGGCGGGAAGCCAAGUCCGUGAAGAAAGACCUGGGCUCAACUCAGGGAACGGCACGGAUACUGGUUUUCUUGAGGCAAUCAGAGGGUGAUGGAAUUCCCGGUGGAGCGGUGAAAUGCGUAGAGAUCGGGAGGAACACCAGUGGCGAAGGCGAUCACCUGGGGUUGUUCUGACGCUGAGGAGCGAAAGCUAGGGGAGCGAACGGGAUUAGAUACCCCGGUAGUCCUAGCCGUAAACGAUGGAUACUAGGUGUAUGUGGUAUCGACUCCAUAUGUGCCGUAGUUAACACAAUAAGUAUCCCGCCUGGGGAGUACGGCCGCAAGGUUA
Molecule: ribosomal RNA, 373 nt
Filed under: uncultured bacterium
Lineage: Bacteria
Description: bacterial SSU rRNA
Rfam family: Bacterial small subunit ribosomal RNA
Source: RNAcentral